UACGAAGGGGGCUAGCGUUGCUCGGAAUUACUGGGCGUAAAGGGCGCGUAGGCGGAUAGUUUAGUCAGAGGUAAAAGCCCAGGGCUCAACCUUGGAACUGCCUUUGAUACUGGCUAUCUUGAGUUCGGGAGUGGUGAGUGGAAUGCCGAGUGUAGAGGUGAAAUUCGUAGAUAUUCGGCGGAACACCAGUGGCGAAGGCGACUCACUGGCCCGAUACUGACGCUGAGGCGCGAAAGCGUGGGGAGCAAACAGG
This 253-nucleotide ribosomal RNA is filed under the name uncultured bacterium. RNAcentral's name for it is "partial 16S ribosomal RNA". It matches the Rfam family "Bacterial small subunit ribosomal RNA", at positions 524 to 776 of the family's 1533-position model. The record is from RNAcentral.